This 353-nucleotide transfer-messenger RNA is filed under the name Thermodesulfobacteriota. RNAcentral's name for it is "QYQD01 sp007280345 Standard tmRNA". It matches the Rfam family "transfer-messenger RNA". From Rfam's summary of the family: Bacterial tmRNA, also known as 10Sa RNA or SsrA, is named for its dual tRNA and mRNA-like properties. The record is from RNAcentral. RNAcentral also lists the same sequence under 3 other names. Lineage: Bacteria; Pseudomonadati.
GGGGGCGAAACGGCUUCGACGGGGAUAUGGAAGUUUAAGCUGCAUACCGAGGUCCUGUUGGCUCGUUAAACAAACAGGAAAAAACAAAAGCAGACAACUGCGAAUACGCACUGGCCGCUUAAUAGGCCAGCGUCCUUCUGAUUCGAUCCUGCGGAACUAGAAAGGACGACGGAUAGCGGGAUAGCAUCCCCUCAAUCGCCUGCUGAGAGGGGAAGCGAAACUUUAUGCGGGCUAAUCUCCUGGUUGCCUUGCCCGGGGUGGAACCAGGGGGUGAAAUUGAACCCCAGGCUAUGUAUGUAGAUGCUUAAAUGGAGUAUCUUCGGACGCGGGUUCGACUCCCGCCGCCUCCACCA